Molecule: ribosomal RNA, 288 nt
Filed under: Triticum aestivum (bread wheat)
Lineage: Eukaryota; Viridiplantae; Streptophyta; Magnoliopsida; Poales; Poaceae
Description: partial small subunit ribosomal RNA
Source: RNAcentral
AUGUACACAGCCAAUGGGAGGCGCUUUGAGGUAGCAUUGGUGUACCUCAGCACGACGAUCUUCAGCGAGCUCCUGAGGAUGUCCCAGGAGGCGUUUGGCUUCGCAAGCGAUGACAAGAUCACACUGCGUUGUGAUGCCGGAGUGAUGGAGUAUGUCAUGUGCUUGCUCAGGCGAAAUGCCUCUGUCGAAGUCGAGAACGCACUGCUGAUCUCCAUGGUGACAUCUUGUCACUACACUGGUUGCGCAAUUCCAACUGUUGGAGCCAGCAAGCAAAUUGGUUGUUUGUAG